RNAcentral lists this ribosomal RNA (817 nucleotides) under uncultured bacterium. Its description in RNAcentral is "bacterial SSU rRNA". It matches the Rfam family "Bacterial small subunit ribosomal RNA", at positions 1 to 806 of the family's 1533-position model. The record is from RNAcentral.
AAUUCGCCCUUAGAGUUUGAUCCUGGCUCAGGACGAACGCUGGCGGCGUGCCUAACACAUGCAAGUCGAACGGAGAUACGCGCUGAAUGACGAAGCUUGCUUUUGAAUUCUUGUGUAUCUUAGUGGCGGACGGGUGAGUAACGCGUGAGCAACCUGCCUUUCAGAGGGGGAUAACGUUUGGAAACGAACGCUAAUACCGCAUGAGACUACAGUACUACAUGGUACAGUGGCCAAAGGAGCAAUCCGCUGAAAGAUGGGCUCGCGUCCGAUUAGAUAGUUGGCGGGGUAACGGCCCACCAAGUCGACGAUCGGUAGCCGGACUGAGAGGUUGAACGGCCACAUUGGGACUGAGACACGGCCCAGACUCCUACGGGAGGCAGCAGUGAGGGAUAUUGGUCAAUGGGGGAAACCCUGAACCAGCAACGCCGCGUGAGGGAAGACGGUUUUCGGAUUGUAAACCUCUGUCCUCUGUGAAGAUAAUGACGGUAGCAGAGGAGGAAGCUCCGGCUAACUACGUGCCAGCAGCCGCGGUAAUACGUAGGGAGCAAGCGUUGUCCGGAUUUACUGGGUGUAAAGGGUGCGUAGGCGGCCUUGCAAGUCAGAAGUGAAAUCCAUGGGCUUAACCCGUGAACUGCUUUUGAAACUGUAGGGCUUGAGUGAAGUAGAGGCAGGCGGAAUUCCCUGUGUAGCGGUGAAAUGCGUAGAGAUCGGGAGGAACACCAGUGGCGAAGGCGGCCUGCUGGGCUUUAACUGACGCUGAAGCACGAAAGCGUGGGUAGCAAACAGGAUUAGAUACCCUGGUAGUCCACGCCGUAAA